GGCGAGUGGCGAACGGGUGAGUAAUAUAUCGGAACGUGCCCAGUCGUGGGGGAUAACGCAGCGAAAGCUGUGCUAAUACCGCAUACGAUCUCUGGAUGAAAGCGGGGGACUCGCAAGAGCCUCGCGCGAUUGGAGCGGCCGAUAUCAGAUUAGCUAGUUGGUGGGGUAAAAGCCUACCAAGGCGACGAUCUGUAGCUGGUCUGAGAGGACGACCAGCCACACUGGAACUGAGACACGGUCCAGACUCCUACGGGAGGCAGCAGUGGGGAAUUUUGGACAAUGGGCGAAAGCCUGAUCCAGCAAUGCCGCGUGCAGGAUGAAGGCCUUCGGGUUGUAAACUGCUUUUGUACGGAACGAAACGGUUCGCCUUAAUACGGUGGGCUAAUGACGGUACCGUAAGAAUAAGCACCGGCUAACUACGUGCCAGCAGCCGCGGUAAUACGUAGGGUGCGAGCGUUAAUCGGAAUUACUGGGCGUAAAGCGUGCGCAGGCGGUUAUAUAAGACAGAUGUGAAAUCCCCGGGCUCAACCUGGGACCUGCAUUUGUGA
RNAcentral lists this ribosomal RNA (548 nucleotides) under uncultured Albidiferax sp. RNAcentral describes it as "bacterial SSU rRNA". It matches the Rfam family "Bacterial small subunit ribosomal RNA", at positions 90 to 632 of the family's 1533-position model. Lineage: Bacteria; Pseudomonadati; Pseudomonadota; Betaproteobacteria; Burkholderiales; Comamonadaceae. The record is from RNAcentral.